This 778-nucleotide ribosomal RNA is filed under the name Meyerozyma carpophila. RNAcentral describes it as "LSU rRNA". It matches the Rfam family "Eukaryotic large subunit ribosomal RNA", at positions 89 to 886 of the family's 3401-position model. Lineage: Eukaryota; Fungi; Ascomycota; Pichiomycetes; Serinales; Debaryomycetaceae. The record is from RNAcentral.
GCGAGUGAAGCGGCAAAAGCUCAAAUUUGAAAUCUGGCGCCUUCGGUGUCCGAGUUGUAAUUUGAAGAUUGUAACCUUGGGGUUGGCUCUUGUCUAUGUUUCUUGGAACAGGACGUCACAGAGGGUGAGAAUCCCGUGCGAUGAGAUGCCCAAUCCUAUGUAAGGUGCUUUCGAAGAGUCGAGUUGUUUGGGAAUGCAGCUCUAAGUGGGUGGUAAAUUCCAUCUAAAGCUAAAUAUUGGCGAGAGACCGAUAGCGAACAAGUACAGUGAUGGAAAGAUGAAAAGAACUUUGAAAAGAGAGUGAAAAAGUACGUGAAAUUGUUGAAAGGGAAGGGUUUGAGAUCAGACUCGAUAUUUUGUGAGCCUUGCCUUCGUGGCGGGGUGACCCGCAGCUUAUCGGGCCAGCAUCGGUUUGGGCGGUAGGAUAAUGGCGUAGGAAUGUGACUUUACUUCGGUGAAGUGUUAUAGCCUGCGUUGAUGCUGCCUGCCUAGACCGAGGACUGCGAUUUUAUCAAGGAUGCUGGCAUAAUGAUCCCAAACCGCCCGUCUUGAAACACGGACCAAGGAGUCUAACGUCUAUGCGAGUGUUUGGGUGUUAAACCCGUACGCGUAAUGAAAGUGAACGUAGGUGAGGGCUCUUUUGAGUGCAUCAUCGACCGAUCCUGAUGUCUUCGGAUGGAUUUGAGUAAGAGCAUAGCUGUUGGGACCCGAAAGAUGGUGAACUAUACCUGAAUAGGGUGAAGCCAGAGGAAACUCUGGUGGAGGCUCGUAGCGGUUC